UAUAUUUUGAAGUCGAAAUUAACGAUUUUUGUUACAGCUAUUUACUGCAUCCAUAUCUUAUUUUACUGUUUUAUAUUCUACACAGAAGCGAUAAUAGUAAUAUAUUGAAAGUAAUACAGUAAUAUAUUUCAAUAAUACAUUGAAAGAAAGUAGGUAAGCUUGUAUAUAAGUAUGCGCCACUGUCCAGUUUUGAAAUAACUUGUGUACACUUAUCAGCUGAGUAGAAUUAUUCUUCACGCUUUAUAUCAAUUAAUAUAUUAUCAUGCAGUUUAUAUAAAAUUACGGAAAACAAUCAGAUAGAAUAAAAUAUUUGAACAAUUAAAAUAUUACACAACAAAAUUAAUGAAACUCAGUUGUGUACGUGCGUGCAUAUGUGCAUGCAUGUGUGUCUUGUAUGUGUAUUAUUUGUCUGUGUGUAUAUUGAUACUUCUAAACGCAUUUUUUUUUAUUUACGCUUUAACAUUUUAGUUGAGAUUAAGUAAUCAGACAACCUUAGAAAACAUGAGAGCGUUUAAUUUUACAAAUAUUUAGCAAAGCUGAGACUUUUUCGCAGAAUCUACCAAAUAUUUAUAAUCGUUAUACAUGCAGUUAGCAUUUCUGUGGAUAUUAUAAAAUCAGAAGUGUCUUUAUUAGCAUAUAAUUGGAAAAUCGCCCUAUCGUAAUAAUAUGAUGUCACAGAAUACAACAGACAUAUAUUUAAUACAAUUGUACGUACAAUCAACCACGCUCCUUUUAAGAAGCAUGUAUACCUCACGAAUGCCUGGACUAAAAUGAAUAUGAAGACUGUUUGGAAAAAUCAAUUACGCCUGCGCGAGCUUCGGUCGAAAUAUAAUGCCAUGACUAUAUUUUUCUGAGAAAUAAAUAUCUGUUGUACCUUUGGUACGGCGUCAAACCGAUCGAUUAAUCGUUCACUUUUCUCUCCCUUCUCAAAUUGGGAGCAAAUUAUUUCUAUAGCACUCUACAUACCAGUAAUUUAUGUUAUUUGCGUCAGUAUAUUUAGAUUAAAUUUAGGUAAUUUGACUCUAGAAAGAAUAUUAGAGGAAAAAUAUUGUAAAAUAUUUUUUAUUCGGAAAAAGAGACGAAACCUCAUUAUUGCCCUAUCGUUCCCAAAUGCGUGUGGAUGCUCAAACAAACGUGAAUGGUAUUAAUGCUCAAUUUCUUUACAUUCAUCGAAUUUCUCUAAUCGCGAUUGGCUUAUGGCCUUACCACCGAACAAUGCUUGUUCAAGUUCAGUCCUCUCUGUUUUCUUUUAGUACGAUUAGCGUUAUUAUAUUUCAGCUUACAACGUUUCUAACUACAGAAUUAACUGUCGACUUCGUCAUUAAGGUUCUCUCGACAACACUUUUCCUUCUUUUGUGCGUAAUCCAAUACAAUUCUUUUUGGAUUAACACGCAUGUUGUGAAGCGUGUGUUGGAAAACCUUUUGUACGUUUGUAGCGAGUUAAACGAUGAAAACGAAAUUGCUAUAAUAAAAGAAUAUGGACACUUUGCAAAACGUGUUGCGAUUGGAUUUAUAUUGUUGGCGAUGUACGGUGUAUUCGUUUGCUCUUUUUUACCAAUUCUUCCGCGCAUUUUCGGCAUCUUCUUUCUUGUAAAUAAAUCUGAGUCACAUCAUCGCAAUACGUAUAUCAUGACUGAAUAUUUCGUCGAUCAAGAAAAACAUUUUUAUUUUAUUUUGCUACAUCUGUACUCAGCUCUUUUCAUAGCAGUAGCUACGUUACUGGGAACAGCAAUAUUAAUGACAGGAUACUUUAUACACUUCUGCGGAUUAUUUAAUAUUGCUAGUUACCGUAUCGAGCAGGCAAUAAACAGUCACGAAGUAACUAAUCGGAAGUACAAGAGCGAGAUGCGCAAAAAGAUAACUAAUGCAGUGGACAUUCAUCGCAAAACUAUUGAGUUCAUUGACUUCUUUCUGUAUAACUUCGAAGGAACAUUCAUUCUUAUAAUAAUGAUUAUUAUAAUUUGCUUGAGCCUGAAUCUAUUUCGAAUCUUUCAAGCUCUUUCUGAGAACAGCAUAGAAAAUUUCGUAUUACAUUCUAUUUUAAUGGGUGCCAUUUUUGUGUAUUCAUUCGUAGGCCACUAUACUGGUCAAGAAGUUACAGAUCACUAUAAUUACAUAUUUUCUACCGCAUAUAACGUUGUAUGGUACACCGCACCCGUAUGUGUGCAAAAAUUGAUAUUGUUUCUUUUGCAAAGAAGUAGUAAGCCUUAUGGUUUAAAAUUUGGCGGUCUUUAUAUAACAUCAUUAGAAAGCUUUGCCUCGAUAUCAACAGCAUCAAUGUCAUACUUUACUGUUAUGUACUCUAUACAGAAGUAGUACUAAUAGUCAAUCCUAAUAGUAUACAGAAGUAGUACUAAUAGUCAAUCCUAAUAGUAUAUUAAAACCAAAGGAGAAUCCCCUAUUAUGAGAUAUGCUCCUAAUAUGAGAUAA
Molecule: unclassified non-coding RNA, 2430 nt
Filed under: Ooceraea biroi (clonal raider ant)
Lineage: Eukaryota; Metazoa; Arthropoda; Insecta; Hymenoptera; Formicidae
Description: uncharacterized LOC105280155, transcript variant X3
Source: RNAcentral